RNAcentral lists this ribosomal RNA (393 nucleotides) under uncultured bacterium. RNAcentral's name for it is "partial 16S ribosomal RNA". It matches the Rfam family "Bacterial small subunit ribosomal RNA", at positions 523 to 918 of the family's 1533-position model. The record is from RNAcentral.
AUACGGAGGAUCCGAGCGUUAUCCGGAUUUAUUGGGUUUAAAGGGAGCGUAGGCGGACGCUUAAGUCAGUUGUGAAAGUUUGCGGCUCAACCGUAAAAUUGCAGUUGAUACUGGUUUCCUUGAGUACGGUACAGGUGGGCGGAAUUCGUGGUGUAGAGGUGAAAUGCUUAGAUAUCACUCAGAACACCGAUUGCGAAGGCAUCUGACGAAUCCGUCACUGACGCUGAGGCACGAAAGCGUGGGGAUAGAACAGGAUUAGAUACCCUGGUAUUCCACGCCGUAAACGAUGAUGACUAACCGUCGGCGAUAGACAGCCGGUGGCCAAGCGAAAGCGAUAAGUCAUCCACCUGGGGAGUACGUCGGCAACGAUGAAACUUAAAGGAAUUGACGGGG